UGCAUCUUUUGGAGCCUGCCAGCAAUGA
This 28-nucleotide non-coding RNA is filed under the name Rattus norvegicus (Norway rat). The record is from RNAcentral. Lineage: Eukaryota; Metazoa; Chordata; Mammalia; Rodentia; Muridae.